AGAGGAAAGUGGAAUUCNUAGUGUAGCGGUGAAAUGCGUAGAUAUUAGGAAGAACACCAGUGGCGAAGGCGACUUUCUGACGAAAACUGACGCUGAGGCGCGAAAGCCAGGGGAGCGAACGGGAUUAGAUACCCCGGUAGUCCUGGCCGUAAACGAUGGGUACUAGGUGUAGGAGGUAUCGACCCCUUCUGUGCCGGAGUUAACGCAAUAAGUACCCCGCCUGGGGAGUACGACCGCAAGGUUGAAACUCAAAGGAAUUGACGGGGGCCCGCACAAGCGGUGGAGUAUGUGGUUUAAUUCGACGCAACGCGAAGAACCUUACCAGGUCUUGACAUUGAUGGACAGAACCAGAGAUGGUUCCUCUUCUUCGGAAGCCAGAAAACAGGUGGUGCACGGUUGUCGUCAGCUCGUGUCGUGAGAUGUUGGGUUAANNNNNNNNACGAGCGCAACCCCUAUCUUAUGUUGCCAGCACUUUGGGUGGGGACUCAUGAGAGACUGCCGCAGACAAUGCGGAGGAAGGCGGGGAUGACGUCAAAUCAUCAUGCCCCUUAUGACCUGGGCUACACACGUACUACAAUGGGAGUUAAUAGACGGAAGCGAGAUCGCGAGAUGGAGCAAACCCGAGAAACACUCUCUCAGUUCGGAUCGUAGGCUGCAACUCGCCUACGUGAAGUCGGAAUCGCUAGUAAUCGCAGGUCAGCAUACUGCGGUGAAUACGUUCCCGGGCCU
Molecule: ribosomal RNA, 729 nt
Filed under: uncultured bacterium
Lineage: Bacteria
Description: bacterial SSU rRNA
Rfam family: Bacterial small subunit ribosomal RNA
Source: RNAcentral